CAAUAGCGUAUAUUAAAGUUGUUGCAGUUAAAAAGCUCGUAGUUGGAUCUGUGGUGUGCGGUGGGCUCCGGGCGCUUGUUGUCUGAGUAGCUCGCCGCUGCCAUCCUUGGUGGAACCUGUGUGGCAUUAGGUUGUCGUGCAGGGGAUGCCCAUCGUUUACUGUGAAAAAAUUAGAGUGUUCAAAGCAGGCUUAUGCCGUUGAAUAUAUUAGCAUGGAAUAAUGAGAUAGGACUUUUUCGCUAUUUUGUUGGUUUGCGCGAAGAGGUAAUGAUUAAUAGGGACAGUUGGGGGUAUUCGUAUUCCAUUGUCAGAGGUGAAAUUCUUGGAUUUUUGGAAGACGAACUACUGCGAAAGCAUUUACCAAGGAUGUUUUCAUUAA
Molecule: ribosomal RNA, 379 nt
Filed under: uncultured eukaryote
Lineage: Eukaryota
Description: partial 18S ribosomal RNA
Rfam family: Eukaryotic small subunit ribosomal RNA
Source: RNAcentral